This is a long non-coding RNA of Perognathus longimembris pacificus (Pacific pocket mouse), 165 nucleotides long. RefSeq lists it as uncharacterized. The record is from RefSeq and is a predicted model, not a curated record. NCBI's taxonomy places the organism in Eukaryota, Metazoa, Chordata, Mammalia, Rodentia, Heteromyidae. The transcript is spliced from 3 exons.
CUAUGGUAAACAAUGCUACAGUGAACAUGAUUGUGCUGGAUCAUAGAGGAGCUCUAUGUUCAGUCUUUUGAAGAACCUUCAAACUGCUUUCCAGAGUGGGUGAACAAGUUUUCAUUCACAGCAACAGUGCAGUAGUGUUCAGUUUUGGCCACAUCCCCCCAGCAU